This 371-nucleotide ribosomal RNA is filed under the name uncultured organism. RNAcentral describes it as "bacterial SSU rRNA". It matches the Rfam family "Bacterial small subunit ribosomal RNA", at positions 526 to 896 of the family's 1533-position model. The record is from RNAcentral.
CGUAGGGUGCGAGCGUUAAUCGGAAUUACUGGGCGUAAAGCGUGCGCAGGCGGUUCGCCAAGUCAGGUGUGAAAUCCCCGGGCUUAACCUGGGAAUUGCGCUUGAAACUAGCGGGCUUGAGUGUGGCAGAGGGGGUGGAAUUCCACGUGUAGCAGUGAAAUGCGUAGAGAUGUGGAGGAACACCGAUGGCGAAGGCAGCCCCCUGGGUCAACACUGACGCCCAUGCACGAAAGCGUGGGGAGCAAACAGGAUUAGAUACCCUGGUAGUCCACGCCCUAAACGAUGUCGACUAGGUGUUGGGGAAGGAGACUUCCUUAGUACCGCAGCUAACGCGUGAAGUCGACCGCCUGGGGAGUACGGUCGCAAGAUUA